CCUACGGGGGGCAGCAGUGGGGAAUAUUGCGCAAUGGGCGAAAGCCUGACGCAGCGACGCCGCGUGAGGGAUGAAGGUCUUCGGAUCGUAAACCUCUGUCAGCAGGGAAGAACAGUCACUGUGCUAAUCAGCAGUGAAUUGACGGUACCUGCAAAGGAAGCACCGGCUAACUCCGUGCUAGCAGCCGCGGUAAUACUGAGGGUGCGAGCGUUAAUCGGAAUUACUGGGCGUAAAGCGCUCGUAGGCGGUAUGGCAAGUCAGGGGUGAAAUCCCGGCGCUCAACGUGGGAACUGCCUUUGAAACUGGCAAACUGGAGUGUGGGAGAGGAUAGUGGAAUUCCAGGUGUAGGAGUGAAAUCCGUAGAUAUCUGGAGGAACAUCAGUGGCGAAGGCGACUAUCUGGAACAUAACUGACGCUGAGGAGCGAAAGCGUGGGUAGCAAACAGGAUUAGAUACCCCAGUAGUC
RNAcentral lists this ribosomal RNA (465 nucleotides) under uncultured bacterium. Its description in RNAcentral is "partial 16S ribosomal RNA". It matches the Rfam family "Bacterial small subunit ribosomal RNA", at positions 338 to 795 of the family's 1533-position model. The record is from RNAcentral.